AGCCCGCUCGCCGGAAGACCAAGGGUUCCUGUCCAACGUUAAUCGGGGCAGGGUGAGUCGACCCCUAAGGCGAGGCCGAAAGGCGUAGUCGAUGGGAAACAGGUUAAUAUUCCUGUACUUGGUGUUACUGCGAAGGGGGGACGGAGAAGGCUAUGUUGGCCGGGCGACGGUUGUCCCGGUUUAAGCGUGUAGGCUGGUUUUCCAGGCAAAUCCGGAAAAUCAAGGCUGAGGCGUGAUGACGAGGCACUACGGUGCUGAAGCAACAAAUGCCCUGCUUCCAGGAAAAGCCUCUAAGCAUCAGGUAACAUCAAAUCGUACCCCAAACCGACACAGGUGGUCAGGUAGAGAAUACCAAGGCGCUUGAGAGAACUCGGGUGAAGGAACUAGGCAAAAUGGUGCCGUAACUUCGGGAGAAGGCACGCUGAUAUGUAGGUGAAGUCCCUCGCGGAUGGAGCUGAAAUCAGUCGAAGAUACCAGCUGGCUGCAACUGUUUAUUAAAAACACAGCACUGUGCAAACACGAAAGUGGACGUAUACGGUGUGACGCCUGCCCGGUGCCGGAAGGUUAAUUGAUGGGGUUAGCGGUAACGCGAAGCUCUUGAUCGAAGCCCCGGUAAACGGCGGCCGUAACUAUAACGGUCCUAAGGUAGCGAAAUUCCUUGUCGGGUAAGUUCCGACCUGCACGAAUGGCGUAAUGAUGGCCAGGCUGUCUCCACCCGAGACUCAGUGAAAUUGAACUCGCUGUGAAGAUGCAGUGUACCCGCGGCAAGACGGAAAGACCCCGUGAACCUUUACUAUAGCUUGACACUGAACAUUGAGCCUUGAUGUGUAGGAUAGGUGGGAGGCUUUGAAGUGUGGACGCCAGUCUGCAUGGAGCCGGCCUUGAAAUACCACCCUUUAAUGUUUGAUGUUCUAACGUUGGCCCCUGACCGGGGUUGCGGACAGUGUCUGGUGGGUAGUUUGACUGGGGCGGUCUCCUCCUAAAGAGUAACGGAGGAGCACGAAGGUUGGCUAAUCCUGGUCGGACAUCAGGAGGUUAGUGCAAUGGCAUAAGCCAGCUUGACUGCGAGCGUGACGGCGCGAGCAGGUGCGAAAGCAGGUCAUAGUGAUCCGGUGGUUCUGAAUGGAAGGGCCAUCGCUCAACGGAUAAAAGGUACUCCGGGGAUAACAGGCUGAUACCGCCCAAGAGUUCAUAUCGACGGCGGUGUUUGGCACCUCGAUGUCGGCUCAUCACAUCCUGGGGCUGAAGUAGGUCCCAAGGGUAUGGCUGUUCGCCAUUUAAAGUGGUACGCGAGCUGGGUUUAGAACGUCGUGAGACAGUUCGGUCCCUAUCUGCCGUGGGCGCUGGAGAACUGAGGGGGGCUGCUCCUAGUACGAGAGGACCGGAGUGGACGCAUCACUGGUGUUCGGGUUGUCAUGCCAAUGGCACUGCCCGGUAGCUAAAUGCGGAAGAGAUAAGUGCUGAAAGCAUCUAAGCACGAAACUUGCCCCGAGAUGAGUUCUCCCUGACUCCUUGAGAGUCCUGAAGGAACGUUGAAGACGACGACGUUGAUAGGCCGGGUGUGUAAGCGCAGCGAUGCGUUGAGCUAACCGGUACUAAUGAACCGUGAGGCUUAACCUU
RNAcentral lists this ribosomal RNA (1620 nucleotides) under Escherichia coli. RNAcentral describes it as "bacterial LSU rRNA". It matches the Rfam family "Bacterial large subunit ribosomal RNA", at positions 1327 to 2925 of the family's 2925-position model. The record is from RNAcentral. Lineage: Bacteria; Pseudomonadati; Pseudomonadota; Gammaproteobacteria; Enterobacterales; Enterobacteriaceae.